This 25-nucleotide non-coding RNA is filed under the name Rattus norvegicus (Norway rat). The record is from RNAcentral. Lineage: Eukaryota; Metazoa; Chordata; Mammalia; Rodentia; Muridae.
UAAGGACCUGAUUAUAGACAGACAC